Molecule: long non-coding RNA, 1025 nt
Organism: Mus musculus (house mouse)
Lineage: Eukaryota; Metazoa; Chordata; Mammalia; Rodentia; Muridae
Exons: 3
Source: RefSeq, a predicted model, not a curated record
UCUCAAAGAGCACCCAGAUGGGCUGGGCCGGUCGGCAGGUAUAGCCUCAGCCAAGUCCUGCCCUAACUCUGCGCCCUUGGCCCUGUCAGGCCCAGGCAUUCGGGACCCCGCCGCCUGGUGCCCGCCCCUCCCCGCAGCUCCGAUUUUCAGCUUGGGUUUGAUCGGCUGCCAGGAUCUCCCAAAUGUCAGCAGCAGCAUUCGCGUCUUUAAGAGAGCGCCCGAGGCGAUCUUUAAGCGGGGAGGCUGGGGCCGGCGCUGACGAGGGAACGCUGCUGACAGCCACGCUCGUGCCUCCCCAGCCAGCUUGCAGAGCUGCAGCCCCGCUCUGGGCCUGGGCUCAUUUUGAAGCCUGGGAUAAAACCAGGCUAGGCCAGGAGUUGAGUAGCAGGACCCCUGCUGGAAGCCAAGAGGGCCAGGCAUCCAUAGAUUAAAUACAGAAGUUUUAAGAGCUGCCCAAGGGGCAGAGAAGGGCAGUUCCUCCUUCCUCACCUUGAAGGGACAUAUUCAGGGUCAUGGAUGGUCCUGACUACCCAACUUCUCAAGCAUCCAAUGUCCUCAGAGAAAGGGAGACCAGAGGUCAGUUCCCAUCCAGGGGAGAUGUGCUGGGAAAGUGGCAGCGUGGACUUCCUGUCCCUGAGAUGCAGCCUUUCUGGGACCAGGCAGAGUGGCCACGAAACUGAGAGAAGGUGGUGUUGUCCAGCAGGGCCCAGGAUUGGCAUCUCACUCAUCAAAGCAUGUUCCAAACUACGGGAACAAGGCUCAGAAUGGCUGUGAAAUAAAAUCAGAAUGUGUGGAUGAAGGGUGGGUGGAAACAUAAGUGGACAGCCUGAAACCUGCUUGCUCAGGGGUGGAGCUUCCCGAUCAAUCGUUCUGCCACGCCCACUGCUGGAACCUGCUGCUUUGCUGCUUGGAGCCAUACUCGUGGUCACCCUGCUACUGGACUCUGAGAUUAUUUGGUGGGAAUCGGGCCCCUUCCCCUGCUUCAUAACUGCGUGCAGAACAGUAAAUUUGAGCUUUGAUCAGAA